Molecule: transfer RNA, 57 nt
Filed under: Lernaea cyprinacea
Lineage: Eukaryota; Metazoa; Arthropoda; Copepoda; Cyclopoida; Lernaeidae
Description: tRNA-Tyr
Source: RNAcentral
UUGGUGGCUGAUAAUAAGUGUUAGGCUGUAAACCUAAAGAUGUGAAAACCCAAAUAA